AGAGUUUGAUCAUGGCUCAGAGCGAACGCUGGCGGCAGUGCUUAACACAUGCAAGUCGAGCGGGCGUAGCAAUACGUCAGCGGCAGACGGGUGAGUAACGCGUGGGAACAUACCUUUUGGUUCGGAACAACACAGGGAAACUUGUGCUAAUACCGGAUAAGCCCUUACGGGGAAAGAUUUAUCGCCGAAAGAUUGGCCCGCGUCUGAUUAGCUAGUUGGUGAGGUAACGGCUCACCAAGGCGACGAUCAGUAGCUGGUCUGAGAGGAUGAUCAGCCACAUUGGGACUGAGACACGGCCCAAACUCCUACGGGAGGCAGCAGUGGGGAAUAUUGGACAAUGGGCGCAAGCCUGAUCCAGCCAUGCCGCGUGAGUGAUGAAGGCCCUAGGGUUGUAAAGCUCUUUUGUGCGGGAAGAUAAUGACGGUACCGCAAGAAUAAGCCCCGGCUAACUUCGUGCCAGCAGCCGCGGUAAUACGAAGGGGGCUAGCGUUGCUCGGAAUCACUGGGCGUAAAGGGUGCGUAGGCGGGUCUUUAAGUCAGGGGUGAAAUCCUGGAGCUCAACUCCAGAACUGCCUUUGAUACUGAAGAUCUUGAGUUCGGGAGAGGUGAGUGGAACUGCGAGUGUAGAGGUGAAAUUCGUAGAUAUUCGCAAGAACACCAGUGGCGAAGGCGGCUCACUGGCCCGAUACUGACGCUGAGGCACGAAAGCGUGGGGAGCAAACAGGAUUAGAUACCCCGGUAGUCC
RNAcentral lists this ribosomal RNA (745 nucleotides) under uncultured bacterium. RNAcentral describes it as "bacterial SSU rRNA". It matches the Rfam family "Bacterial small subunit ribosomal RNA", at positions 8 to 796 of the family's 1533-position model. The record is from RNAcentral.